RNAcentral lists this ribosomal RNA (465 nucleotides) under uncultured bacterium. RNAcentral's name for it is "partial 16S ribosomal RNA". It matches the Rfam family "Bacterial small subunit ribosomal RNA", at positions 339 to 795 of the family's 1533-position model. The record is from RNAcentral.
CUAAGGGGGGCACCAGUAGGGAAUAUUGCGCAAUGGGCGAAAGCCUGACGCAGCAAUGCCGCGUGAGUGAGGAAGGCCUUAGGGUUGUAAAGCUCUGUUAAUGUGGAAAAAUGGCCCCUAGGUUAAUGGCCUAGGAGUUUGAUGGUACACAUAGAGGAAGCACCGGCUAACUUCGUGCCAGCAGCCGCGGUAAUACGAAGGGUGCAAGCGUUGUUCGGAUUUAUUGGGCGUAAAGCGCGCGCAGGCGGGUUAACAAGUCAGAUGUGAAAUCCGGGGGCUCAACUCCGAAACUGCGUCUGAAACUAUUAGUCUAGAAUCUUGGAGAGGGAAGGGGAAUUUCACAUGUAGGGGUAAAAUCCGUAGAGAUGUGAAGGAACAUCAGGGGCGAAGGCGCCUUCCUGGCCAAGUAUUGACGCUGAGGCGCGAAAGCGUGGGUAGCGAACAGGAUUAGAUACCCUAGUAGUC